This 211-nucleotide unclassified non-coding RNA is filed under the name Borreliella garinii. RNAcentral's name for it is "partial 5S-23S ribosomal RNA intergenic spacer". The record is from RNAcentral. Lineage: Bacteria; Pseudomonadati; Spirochaetota; Spirochaetia; Spirochaetales; Borreliaceae.
CUGCGAGUUCGCGGGAGAGUAAGUUAUUGCCAGGGUUUUUAUUUUAUACUUUAAACAUUGAUUUUAUUUUUUAUGUUUUUAGAUGUUCAUGUUUUUGAAUGUUUUAUUUAAAUAAUAUAAAAAAUAAAAUAUAUAUUGACAUGGAUUAAACAAAGAUAUAUAUUAUUCUAUGUUGCAUAAACAAAUUGGCAAAAUAGAGAUGGAAGAUAAA